This 355-nucleotide transfer-messenger RNA is filed under the name Rickettsia sp. Its description in RNAcentral is "Alphaproteobacteria transfer-messenger RNA". It matches the Rfam family "Alphaproteobacteria transfer-messenger RNA". From Rfam's summary of the family: Bacterial tmRNA, also known as 10Sa RNA or SsrA, is named for its dual tRNA and mRNA-like properties. Its role is to liberate the mRNA from a stalled ribosome. Lineage: Bacteria; Pseudomonadati; Pseudomonadota; Alphaproteobacteria; Rickettsiales; Rickettsiaceae. The record is from Rfam by way of RNAcentral.
UCUCUAUCUAGUUUCGUAAUUAUAUUAUAUAAUUUCUAUGUUAAGUUUUUUGGAUCAAAAAUCAUAACUAUGGUAAUAGUGGAUUAUUUAGAAUAAAAGCAUUGGACUCGGGGGCAGUACCCGACAUCUCCACGCAGUAUCUUAUAAGGGGGUGAAAUUAGUUUCGACAUGCUUAGUAAAAAAAUUAUCUUUACUCAGUGUAGAUACUGCUGAUUUUGUAGUUAUUUUAUUAGCUACAUGAUAUAAGUUCAAAAAAUGAAACGCAAAAUUUAAAAAUGAGCGUUAUGAGGUUUUAGCUGCUUAAUUGCUAAUUCUUCAUGGGGUUUGAGAGCACCUUGCAACAGAAGCUCUCAUU